RNAcentral lists this ribosomal RNA (253 nucleotides) under uncultured bacterium. RNAcentral describes it as "partial 16S ribosomal RNA". It matches the Rfam family "Bacterial small subunit ribosomal RNA", at positions 524 to 776 of the family's 1533-position model. The record is from RNAcentral.
UACGAAGGGGGCUAGCGUUGCUCGGAAUCACUGGGCGUAAAGCGCACGUAGGCGGCUUCUUAAGUCAGGGGUGAAUUCCUGGAGCUCAACUCCAGAACUGCCUUUGAUACUGAAGAUCUUGAGUUCGGGAGAGGUGAGUGGAACUGCGAGUGUAGAGGUGAAAUUCGUAGAUAUUCGCAAGAACACCAGUGGCGAAGGCGGCUCACUGGCCCGAUACUGACGCUGAGGCACGAAAGCGUGGGGAGCAAACAGG